RNAcentral lists this ribosomal RNA (445 nucleotides) under uncultured bacterium. RNAcentral describes it as "bacterial SSU rRNA". It matches the Rfam family "Bacterial small subunit ribosomal RNA", at positions 338 to 795 of the family's 1533-position model. The record is from RNAcentral.
CCUACGGGUUGCAGCAGUGGGGAAUAUUGCACAAUGGGCGCAAGCCUGAUGCAGCGACGCCGCGUGAGGGGUGACGGCCUUCGGGUUGUAAACCUCUUUCAGUAGGGAAGAAGCGAAAGUGACGGUACCUGCAGAAGAAGCGCCGGCUAACUACGUGCCAGCAGCCGCGGUAAUACGUAGGGCGCAGGCGUUAUCCGGAAUUAUUGGGCGUAAAGAGCUCGUAGGCGGUUUGUCGCGUCCGCCGUGAAAGUCCGAGGCUCAACUCCGGAUCUGCGGUGGGUACGGGCAGGCUAGAGUGAUGUAGGGGAGACUGGAAUUCCUGGUGUAGCGGUGAAAUGCGCAGAUAUCAGGAGGAACACCGAUGGCGAAGGCAGGUCUCUGGGCAUUAACUGACGCUGAGGAGCGAAAGCAUGGGGAGCGAACAGGAUUAGAUACCCGAGUAGUC